GGCAGCGGGAGGCCGGCCCCCGUGGCGCGAGCCAUGAGGAAAGUCCCCCCACCCGUCGGACAGGUGACCGGGCACAAGCCCGGGGCGGGAGACCGUCGGCUAUGGAACAGCAACGACACGUCGUCCGGGGACCGAUGAGGUGUGCGAAUCCCGAGCGGCAAGCCAGGGAGAGUUAACCCACCGAGGGCUAACGUGGUGUGCUGACGCCCACCGCGAUAUAACGUGGUCCGCCUUCGGCGGUCCACGCUCCCCGGACGGACCGAUGGAACGGCGAAUCCUCACCGGUGCAAGACCGCGUCGACAGGUAGUCCGACACCGCGUGUAAGCGCUGGACGCGGUCGCUCAGCCGAAUGCCGGCCCGAACAGAAGGGGGCUUACUCCCCGCAGCC
RNAcentral lists this RNase P RNA (389 nucleotides) under Haloarcula salinisoli. RNAcentral describes it as "Halomicroarcula salinisoli Archaeal RNase P". It matches the Rfam family "Archaeal RNase P". From Rfam's summary of the family: Ribonuclease P (RNase P) is a ubiquitous endoribonuclease, found in archaea, bacteria and eukarya as well as chloroplasts and mitochondria. Its best characterised activity is the generation of mature 5'-ends of tRNAs by cleaving the 5'-leader elements of precursor-tRNAs. Lineage: Archaea; Methanobacteriati; Methanobacteriota; Halobacteria; Halobacteriales; Haloarculaceae. The record is from Rfam by way of RNAcentral.